GAAAUGCGAUAAGUAAUGUGAAUUGCAGAAUUCAGUGAAUCAUCGAAUCUUUGAACGCACCUUGCGCUCCUUGGUAUUCCUUGGAGCAUGCCUGUUUGAGUAUCAUGAAAUCUUCAAAGUAAAUCUUUUGUUAACUCAAUUGGAUUCUACUUUGGUAUUGGAGGUCUUUGCAGCUUCACACCUGCUCCUCUUUGUUCAUUAGCUGGAUCUCAGUGUUAUGCUUGGUUCCACUCGGCGUGAUAAGUUAUCUAUCGCUGAGGACACUGUAAAAGGUGGCCAAGGUAAAUGCAGAUGAACCGCUUCUAAUAGUCCAUUGACUUGGACAAUACUUUUAUGAUCUGAUCUCAAAUCAGGUAGGACUACCCGCUGAACUUAAGC
RNAcentral lists this unclassified non-coding RNA (378 nucleotides) under plant metagenome. RNAcentral describes it as "partial contains 5.8S ribosomal RNA, internal transcribed spacer 2, and large subunit ribosomal RNA". The stretch from base 1 to 105 matches the Rfam family "5.8S ribosomal RNA", at positions 50 to 154 of the family's 154-position model. The record is from RNAcentral.